Molecule: RNA transcript, 6240 nt
Organism: Cololabis saira (Pacific saury)
Lineage: Eukaryota; Metazoa; Chordata; Actinopteri; Beloniformes; Belonidae
Gene name: pleckstrin homology domain-containing family A member 7-like
Exons: 24
Source: RefSeq, a predicted model, not a curated record
GGGAGACCAGAGACGGACCUGCGGCGGGAUACAUGGGAUCAUGGCGGCGGCUCGGGACCAACGGGACCGGGACCGGCUCCCGCCGCGCUGGUCCUACGGCGUCCGGCGGGACGGGCGGGUGUUCUUCAUCAGCGAGGAGACCCGGACCACCACCUGGCUGCACCCGGGGUCCGGGGAGGCGGUCAGCUCCGGCCACGUGACCCGCUCAGACCUGCCGCGGGGCUGGGAGGAGGCGUUCACGGAGCAGGGGGCCGCAUACUUCCUGGACCACAACCAGAGGACGGCGUCGUUCCGGCACCCGGUGACCGGACAGGUCGCCCCCGAGAACCUGGACUUCCUCCUGCAGGAACCGCCCGGCCCUCCUAUGAUGUCCAGAGCAGCAGCGGAGCAGCUCUCCACCUCCGUCAGCGAGGCCUCCACCUCCAUCACCUCCUCCACCGUGGACCCCUCCAAGGCCUCCAGGUCCGGUGGGAAGGUCCACAGCUUUGGGAAGAGAGAGCAGGCCAUCAAGAGGAAUCCCAACGUCCCAGCGGUGGUCCGAGGAUGGCUCUACAAACAGGACAGCUCCGGGAUGCGUCUCUGGAAGAGGAAGUGGUUCGUCUUGGCUGAUUUCUGCCUCUUCUACUACAAAGACAGCAGAGAGGAGUCGGUCCUCGGCAGCAUUCCUCUCCCCAGCUACGUGGUGGCACCCGUGGGACCGGAGGACCACAUCAGCCGCAAGUUCGCCUUCAAGGCCGGCUACGCGGGCUCCCACACUCAGAGCUCUGUGAUUGGCUCGCAGGCGGAGCACCCGGGGAUGAGGACGUACUACUUCAGCGCCGACACGCAGGACGACAUGAGCAGCUGGCUGGGGGCCAUGAACCGGGCCGCGCUGGUCCAGGACCGGGCCGACCGGGCCGGCAGGGCCGGCAGACCCGCAGACUCGUUGCGGCUGGUGCAGCAGGCCGUCCCCCAGACCAACCACCUCCAGACCAGACCGGUCCACGAGGUCCUGCUGGAGCCGCUGCACCGGGACCCGGAGGAGCUGUGCAGCUGCCUGACGGAGCCGUCGGAGAACGACCCCCGCACGUCCCAGCCCUCCAACCCCGCCGCCCCCCCGCCCUCGGGGGAGCACGCCUCGGCCUCGGCGCCGGUGUCCCGGGCCCCGUCCCGGCCCGCCUCCACCCUCCCCACCAGGAACGGCCUGGUGUCCACGCCGUCCCCCAUCCUGGAGCCCAACGGCAUCGCGGCCGGAACCUACCAGAGGGUCCCGGAGCCGGCCGGCCCCGACCGGAUGGAGUGGAGGAGGAGCACCCUGGACCAGGUGGAGCAGUGGGUGCAGGUCCAGAAGGCCGAGCACCGAGGUCCCCCCUCCAGGGAGAACACCCUGCCCCGCCGGACCCCCCCCACCCAGCACCGCUACACCACCCUGGACGCCUACCAGACCCUGCCCAGACCCCUCCGCCAGAGCCCGCCCCCCGGCCGCCUGGGCGAGUACAAGUACGCCCAGGACCGGCUGAGCCACUUCCGUCUGGGGCCGGACCAGGGCGGCCCGGGGGGCCCGGGGGGCCCGGGGGGGGCCGGCCCGGUCUGGCAGCUCUACGAGUGGCAGCAGCGCCACCAGUUCCGCCACGGCAGCCCCACGGCGCCGCUCUACACGCCGGCCCCCGAGUACCCGUUCGGGCCCCGGCCCCCGUCCACGGGGCCCCCCCGGUCCGAGGGGGGCCCCCCCCGCUGCGUGUCGGUGCCGCCGUCGUCCGCCGACGUCCCGCCGCCGGGGAGCAGCCGCACCCUGUCGCCCACGCGGAGGCCGCACACGCCGGCCGGGCGGGUGACGGUGCGGCCCGGGGGGACCGGGGGGGCCGGGGCCCUGCUGGACGCCCCCUUCACCGUGUCGCCCCGCAGGACCAAGUCCCAGAUGCUGAAGGCCGCCACCAUCGAGAGACGCUCCAUGCCGCCGUCCGGCUACAUCACACACACCGUCAGCGCGCCCAGCCUGCACGGCAAAACGGCCGACGACACCUACCUGCAGCUGAAGAAGGACCUGCAGUACCUGGAUCUGAAGGUAGUCGGAGGUCAAACACUGAAGGAUUCUGGGAAACCUGUGAAAGUGGCAGAAAGUGACGUGGACGUGAAGCUGAGUCGGUUGUGUGAACAAGACAAGAUCCUGAAGGAACUGGAGGCAACGAUCAGCUCGCUGAAAGACGACAAGGACCAGCUGGAGCGGAUCCUGGACGUGUCCCACCAGCAGAUGGAGCAGUACCAGGACCAGCCGGCCCACCUGAGCAAGAUCUCCUACCAGCAGAGGCUCCUGCAGGAGGACCUGGUCUCCAUCCGGGCCCAGAUCUCCCGCCGCUCCACGGAAAUGACGAAGGCUUGGCAGGAGUACGGCGGCCUGGAGGCGUCGCUGGAGCAGCUGAGGGCGGCGCUGCAGGCGCACGUUAGCCGCGGCGCCACGGCCCAGGACAAGGCCGACCUGAAGCGCGAGCUGUGGAGGAUCGAGGACGUCAUGGCCGGACUCAGCGCCAGCAAGUCCAACUACAAGGUCACCAUCGACUCGGUCCAGAACCCAGAGAGGAAACUAGUGCCUUCGGUCUCCGACCCGGGCGGGUCGUCCCCCGGCGCCGAGGUCCAGCCCCCGCCCCGAACCACCGCCCCCCAGCGCUCCCAGACGCUGCCUCGCAGCACCGUGCCAAAGUGGGCGGAGGAGGACGCCCCGCCCAGACCGCCGCUGCCCCGCCUCUACGACGCCGAGGACACGCCCCCGGCGGUGCCGCCCCUCCCCAGGGAGGCGUCGGCCGUCCGCCACACCUCGGUGCGCGGCCUCAAGCGCCAGUCGGACGGCAGGAGGCGGGACCGAGAGCCGGGGCCGUACGUCGCCAACGGAGACUGUAAGGCUGAUCUGAGGUCGUACCUGAGCGAGCCGGAGCUCCCGGGGGUCAGCGCCGACGCCGUCGACUUCCACUUCUACCCCAAAGGGGCGGCGUCUCAGCUGCACCAGUCCAGCUCCAUCGCCUCCUACGUCACCCUGAGGAGACGUGGCGGCGGCUCUGCAGCCAAGGAGAGACCCAGGAGUGCCUUGGAGCGCCUGGCGUCGCCCCCCGAGGCCCCCCCGCCCGCCGGGGCCCCCCCCCGGGGCCGGAUGACGGCGGAGGAGCAGCUGCAGCGGAUGAAGCGCCACCAGAGGGCGCUGGUCCGGGAACGCAAGAGGAACCUGAGCCAGGGCGACCGCUCCGGCUCCGGCGUCGCCGCGGCGACCCACCGCUCCGCCUCCUCCCCCCGGCUGCCCUGCGGCGCCGCCGACCCGCCCUCCUCCGUACGUUACCCCCCGCCGCCCCGCGGCGGCGCCGGCGACAGACACCGGGACCCCCGGCUGCCCCGCCCCUGCUGCUACGCCGCGCUGCCCCCGGCCACGUCGUAGCCCGGGACCGCUAACACGCUAGCUGUGUAACCCGCGGUUGCCCACGGUAACCAGCACUAACGAGCUAAACGGCCGGCACGGUUAAUGCUUUAAGAGACUAAACGAGCACAGGGGAUUGUGUGACUUGUAGUUUUUAAAGGAUCGUGAUUACCACUGCCCCCCCACACGCCCCGCCCCCCCCGAUGGAACCUCACUGGCACAAUUGUGAAUGUAAAACCCCAGCGGAGGAGGUGAUGACAUCACUUCCUGCUCCGCCCUAAUCGGCAGGACGUUUAUUUAUUUACCAGAUAUUAUUACCAGAUAUUUUCAGAUUCAGUUGUACAGAAAUAUUUUGUAGAGAUUUGCUAUAAAGAGCGUUUAGGAGAGAUGGACGUGUCGGAGAAGAAGAAUCAGGAUGGUGACCCCGCCCCCCGUGACUCCGCCCCCCCGUGACUCCGCCCACGCGUUCUUUUCUCCACAAGUGCCUUGUUUCGUUGAUGAUCUUUUUGCCUUUUUCUCCCUCUUUGCCGGUUGGUUUUAAAUGUGGGGGGGGUAGCGGCUAGCAGCUAGCGGCUAGCUCCGGCCACCGGUCUGAAUGGGGGAUGCUAGCAGCGCUAACACGUAGGGCUGGGCAAUUUUGGACAAAAAUAAAAUCCCGAUUUUUUUCUCUGAAAACCCGAUUUUCGAUUUCGAUUUUUUUGGUAAAACUACAAAAGACAAUGGAAUAAAUUGUUUCAAAUAUUUUAUCUUUAUUUUAAAGAAAAAUAGCAAACAAAUUUCCCUAUUGGGAAUGAAGUGCAACUGAAAGAUACUGUAAAUCCUCCUUGAGUUUAGUAAAGUGACAACAUUUACCAUUUUCUUGACCAAACAAAGAUGACUAGACGAGCUCUGUCUGUAAUGCAGCUGCAAAAAAGGAAAAUCGAUUUUCCGAUUUUCCUUUUUUUAACAUCGUCUUCAAUAAAAAAUCCGAUUUAGAUUUAAAAUCGAUUAAUCGCACAGCCCUACUAACACGCUUGGGUGGACUGACGUAGCUCCACGUGUGACGACUAGCAGCUUGGUGUGAUUCCGGACUAACGCACGAGUGACCGCACUGCUGUGUGGACCGCAUUUCCCAUGAGCCCUUGGGGUUCCCAGGCAAAAGCAAUACGGUUCCCGUCCCGCGGGGGGCGAUGACAUCACAGCGGGUUUUAUCUGCUGCUCUAAUCACGGCUGAUCAUUGAUUAAAGCGGGGGGGGGGGGGGGACUUGGGUCCCGUCUGAAGCCGGUUCUGGGCGGUUUUUAGGGUCGUAAUCAGGUUCCAGGACCUCCGGGAAACUUUCCAGACCGGGAGAGACGAGCGUCGAAUCAAUCAGUCACGUGCAGAUAUGGAGUCCUUCGCGGCCCAUCGUGUCCCAUGAUCCCUUGCGGUUUGAUUGGCGGCUGCAGCUGUGACCUCACUGCAGCCGGUGUUGCUAGGCGACCGCUAGGGCUGGGCGAUACGGACCAAAAGUCAUAUCUGGAUAUUUUCUAGCUGAAUGUUGAUACUCGAUAUAUAUCGAUAUUUUUUCUGUGCCAUAAUUGGGGUUUCCCCCAAAGCAUUAUAGCAUAGCAUCUCUGUUAGCAUCUCUGUUAGCAUCUCUGUUAGCUUCAUUUUUUCUGAGGCAAACCCUUAAAAAAACAGUCAGUUUUAAUACAAUGCCUCGUGCCAAAUGUCACACAGGUUCCUUUAUUAACAGAGGUCUGCACAAUAUCAAAAUGUAUAAAACAAAUGAAAUAAAAAUAAACUGCCUGCAUAUAUAGAAUAAAAUGCUUCUUGAAUAAAAUAAAACAAAUAUCCCUUUCCUGCAUAACAAUUAAAUUAAAAUACACUGUGCAAUUAAUACAAUGUAGACAGUAACAGGCAGACUUUUCCACUGAGGUUGACAGUUGUGCAAAUAACAAAACAUUUGUGCAAAUCUCAAAUAAAACAUUCAAGUCAAUUUGUCACAAAAUAAGCUAUAUCAAAAUCUUAAAAAAAAUAAAUAUAUAUAUAUAUUUUUUUAAAUCGAUAUAAACGAUAUUGUCUCGUACCAUAUGGCGUUUGAAAAUAUAUCGAUAUAUAUUAAAAUCUGGAUAUAUCGCCCAGCCCUAGCGCCCAGCGCUGGACACGUAAACAGGAAGUGGUCCGGUUCUGGCGGGACCGCAGGUCCAGGCGUCGGGGGUUUUAACGGGAACCUGCAGAAUCAUCCGGAGUAGGAACUUCCUGACAAAUCUGGUCAAGAGUUAAUGAUUUGAAUUGAUUUCCAUGUGGAAAGUUCCCGCCGCUCAGACGUCUCCGUCAGAAAGACUUUUCAGUCGUUUAUUUUAUUACAUCAACUUCUCGCCCCUCGAUCAUUACCAGGUGAUAAAGUAAAGCCCCCCCCCAGCACUGGUUGCCUAGCAACCCCCCCACUAACAGAAGCAGCACGACUCUCCUCUUUUCUAUCAUGUAGAUUUGCACCCGACAAUAAAGAGUUUCUUGCUUCUGAACGUCUUCGGGCUCCUUUGUUCCUGAUUGGUGGAGGUUCUGACCGGUCCUGGCCGGUUCUGACCGGUCCUGACCGGUUCUGACCGGGUCUGUCUGCAUGCUGGUGUCUGCUCUGUCCUCUGGUCCCUGAACGCAGCAUGGAGGCCUCCUGUCCUACAGCAUGUGAACGCAGCAGCAGCAGCAGCUGGUCCUCCGGGGGAAGCAUGGCUUGAAGCUCCGCCCACCGUGAUGACGCUCAAGUGUUUGACUGGCAGGAGGAGCGACCCGGGGCCGAGGGGCAGAGCGACGAGGGUCUGGACCGGGUCUGGGACCGGGACGCGGAGCGGCGACGGACGUCGUCGGACGGGUGGCUGAAGGUGACGGCGACCCGCGUGCA